This 775-nucleotide ribosomal RNA is filed under the name uncultured Neocallimastigales. RNAcentral describes it as "partial large subunit ribosomal RNA". It matches the Rfam family "Eukaryotic large subunit ribosomal RNA", at positions 24 to 629 of the family's 3401-position model. Lineage: Eukaryota; Fungi; Neocallimastigomycota; Neocallimastigomycetes; Neocallimastigales. The record is from RNAcentral.
UAUCUCUGUAGAGUCUGCAUAUCAAUAAGCGGAGGAAAAGAAACUAACUAGGAUUCCCUUAGUAACGGCGAGUGAAGCGGGAAGAGCUCAAAUUUGAAAUCUUCAGGGUUUUACCUUGACGAAUUGUAGUUUAAAGAAGUGUUUUCUGUUGGUGUUUUGGUAAAAGUUCUUUGGAAUAGGACAUCAUAGAGGGUGAGAAUCCCGUAUUUGACCAUUACUUCCAGCGUUGUGAUACACUUUCAAAGAGUCGGAUUGUUUGGGAAUGCAGUCCAAAAUGGGUGGUAAAUUUCAUCUAAAGCUAAAUAUUGGCGAGAGACCGAUAGCGAACAAGUACCGUGAGGGAAAGAUGAAAAGAACUUUGAAAAGAGAGUUAAACAGUACGUGAAAUUGUCAAAAGGGAAGCGUUUGACACCAGUGUUGUUUUCUCGAAAAUCAAUUAAAAAAGGCAGGAUUUUGUGUUGUAUUGACUUUAUCAGCUUUCUGCACUCUUUUCUUGUCUUUUUUUAAUGCACUUUUCGUUUAACAAGUCAACAUCAAUUUCUUUUGUUGUAAAAGGGUCAUUGGAAGGUGGCUUUCUUUUCGGAGAAAGUGUUUAUAGCCUUUGGCCUCUGCAAUCGGAGAGAUUGAGGUCUGCAGCGUAGAUCCUUCGGGGUUAGAUACAUUUGUGCUAAGUUAUAGCCUUUCAUAGACAACUUGUUGACUAUGAUCAGUCAUGUAGCUUACUCGCUUAUGCUAUUUUACCUACGCUUAGGAUGUUGAUAGUCACAGCGUGUAC